UUAUCGCACCUUAGUGAGAUUGAGUUGGGUCACUUCGAGUUGUUGUCGUCUUUAGCUUCAGUUGUCGGAGGUUUAUUUUUAUACCAGAUUUAAAGCCCUCCAUUUGGAGUAGGUUCUUAUUUAUCGCUUUAUUUAUUUAUUUCCUACAUCGCUUUUAUUUAUUUAUUUCCCGCAUCGCUUUUAUUUUAUUUAUUUCCCGCAUCACUUUUAUUUUAUUUAUUUCCCGCACUCGCUUUACUUUAUUUAUUU
This 249-nucleotide long non-coding RNA is filed under the name Lathyrus oleraceus (garden pea). RNAcentral's name for it is "Pisum sativum (pea) long non-coding RNA (PSAT_LNC033730)". The record is from RNAcentral. Lineage: Eukaryota; Viridiplantae; Streptophyta; Magnoliopsida; Fabales; Fabaceae.